CAGUCGCCGCGGUAAUACGUAGGUGGCAAGCGUUGUCCGGAAUUAUCGGGCGUAAAGGGCUCGCAAGCGGUUUCUUAAGUCUGAUGUGAAAGCCCCCGGCUCAACCGGGGAGGGUCAUUGGAAACUGGGAAACUUGAGUGCAGAAGAGGAGAGUGGAAUUCCACGUGUAGCGGUGAAAUGCGUAGAGAUGUGGAGGAACACCAGUGGCGAAGGCGACUCUCUGGUCUGUAACUGACGCUGAGGAGCGAAAGCGUGGGGAGCGAACAGGAUUAGAUACCCCCGUAGUCCCUGUCUCUUAUAC
This 301-nucleotide ribosomal RNA is filed under the name uncultured bacterium. Its description in RNAcentral is "partial 16S ribosomal RNA". It matches the Rfam family "Bacterial small subunit ribosomal RNA", at positions 509 to 807 of the family's 1533-position model. The record is from RNAcentral.